Molecule: ribosomal RNA, 458 nt
Filed under: uncultured bacterium
Lineage: Bacteria
Description: bacterial SSU rRNA
Rfam family: Bacterial small subunit ribosomal RNA
Source: RNAcentral
UACGGAAGGCAGCAGUGGGGAAUAUUGCACAAUGGGCGAAAGCCUGAUGCAGCUAUGCCGCGUGUAUGAAGAAGGCCUUAGGGUUGUAAAGUACUUUCAUCGGGGAGGAAAAAACAAAACUAAUAAUUUUAUUUCUUGACGUUACCCGAAAAAGAAGCACCGGCUAACUCCGUGCCAGCAGCCGCGGUAAUACGGAGGGUGCUAGCGUUAAUCAGAAUUACUGGGCGUAAAGAGCACGUAGGUGGUUUUUUUAAGUCAGAUGUGAAAUCCCUGGGCUUAACCUAGGAACUGCAUUUUGAAACUGAAAUACUAGAGUAUCGUAGAGGGAGGUAGAAUUCUAGGUGUAGCGGUGAAAUGCGUAGAUAUCUGGAGGAAUACCUGUGGCGAAAGCGGCCUCCUAAACCGAAUACUGACACUGAGGUGCGAAAGCGUGGGGAGCAAACCAGGGAUUAGAUACC